GGCUCAGAGCGAACGUUAGCGCGGGCCUAACACAUGCAAGUCGAACGCGAAAGGUCUUCGGACUGAGUAGAGUGGCGCACGGGUGAGUAACACGUAGGUAAUCUACCCUUUGGCGGGGGAUAACGUUCCGAAAGGAGCGCUAAUACCGCAUAAGACCACGGAGUCUCCGGACGCUGUGGGAAAAGGUGGCCUCUUCUUGAAAGCUACCACCGAAGGAUGAGCCUGCGUCCCAUCAGCUAGUUGGUAAGGUAAAGGCCUACCAAGGCCACGAUCGGUAGCUGGUCUGAGAGGAUGAUCAGCCACACUGGGACUGAGACACGGCCCAGACUCCUACGGGAGGCAGCAGUGGGGAAUAUUGGACAAUGGGCGCAAGCCUGAUCCAGCAAUGCCGCGUGUGUGAAGAAGGCCUGCGGGUUGUAAAGCACUUUCAGUGGGGAAGAACAGAUUCGGGUCAAUACCCGGAGCCCUGACGUUACCCACAGAAGAAGCACCGGCUAACUCCGUG
Molecule: ribosomal RNA, 505 nt
Filed under: uncultured bacterium
Lineage: Bacteria
Description: bacterial SSU rRNA
Rfam family: Bacterial small subunit ribosomal RNA
Source: RNAcentral